UUGAAAUAUAUUGUUAUGGGGCUUAUGUUUUUACUGGCAUCAUGUUGCUUAUUUUGCUUUAUGGGUUCCUUCUUACACUAGUAUGGAUGAAUGAUAGGAUUCACUAUGGGCAAGACAUGACCUUGGGCAUUACAUCAACAUUGAUUUGUUUUCUGAAUCAUAGUUACGAGAUCCACUUGACCCCCCAGGCUCAGAGAUCUGGUUUGUCUGUCCCAAUUUGCUAGGGGUCACGAUCUGGAUCGCUAAAAUGGGUGGUCAAAAUAGCUCAAUAAUUAUUGCAGAAAAAAUUCAGGGAGGAGGAGAGGGAAGGGAAGCCAUGAAGAAGAAAAAGAAGAACAAGAA
RNAcentral lists this unclassified non-coding RNA (342 nucleotides) under Hevea brasiliensis (rubber tree). The record is from RNAcentral. Lineage: Eukaryota; Viridiplantae; Streptophyta; Magnoliopsida; Malpighiales; Euphorbiaceae.